AGCGAACGCUGGCGGCAGGCUUAACACAUGCAAGUCGAGCGGGCACUUUCGGGUGUCCGCGGCGGACGGGUGAGUAACGCGUGGGAACGUGCCCUCUGGCUCGGAAUAACUCAGGGAAACUUGAGCUAAUACCGGAUACGCCCUUUUGGGGAAAGGCUUGCUGCCGGAGGAUCGGCCCGCGUCUGAUUAGCUAGUUGGUGAGGUAACGGCUCACCAAGGCGACGAUCAGUAGCUGGUCUGAGAGGAUGAUCAGCCACACUGGGACUGAGACACGGCCCAGACUCCUACGGGAGGCAGCAGUGGGGAAUAUUGGACAAUGGGCGCAAGCCUGAUCCAGCCAUGCCGCGUGAGUGAUGAAGGCCUUAGGGUUGUAAAGCUCUUUUAUCCGGGACGAUAAUGACGGUACCGGAGGAAUAAGCCCCGGCUAACUUCGUG
This 435-nucleotide ribosomal RNA is filed under the name uncultured bacterium. RNAcentral describes it as "partial 16S ribosomal RNA". It matches the Rfam family "Bacterial small subunit ribosomal RNA", at positions 29 to 507 of the family's 1533-position model. The record is from RNAcentral.